AUUGAACGCUGGCGGCAUGCUUUACACAUGCAAGUCGGACGGCAGCACAGAGAAGCUUGCUUCUUGGGUGGCGAGUGGCGAACGGGUGAGUCACAUAUCGGAACGUACCGAGCAGUGGGGGAUAACUAAUCGAAAGAUUAGCUAAUACCGCAUAUCUUCUGAGGAAGAAAGCAGGGGACCAUUUGGCCUUGCGCUGUUUGAGCGGCCGAUAUCUGAUUAGCUAGUUGGUGGGGUAAAGGCCUACCAAGGCGACGAUCAGUAGCGGGUCUGAGAGGAUGAUCGGCCACACUGGGACUGAGACACGGCCCAGACUCCUACGGGAGGCAGCAGUGGGGAAUUUUGGACAAUGGGCGCAAGCCUGAUCCAGCCAUGCCGCGUGUCUGAAGAAGGCCUUCGGGUUGUAAAGGACUUUUGUCAGGGAAGAAAAGGGCGGGGUUAAUACCCCUGUCUGAUGACGGUACCUGAAGAAUAAGCACCGGCUAACUACGUG
This 490-nucleotide ribosomal RNA is filed under the name uncultured bacterium. RNAcentral describes it as "partial 16S ribosomal RNA". It matches the Rfam family "Bacterial small subunit ribosomal RNA", at positions 30 to 507 of the family's 1533-position model. The record is from RNAcentral.